This 305-nucleotide ribosomal RNA is filed under the name uncultured bacterium. RNAcentral describes it as "bacterial SSU rRNA". It matches the Rfam family "Bacterial small subunit ribosomal RNA", at positions 333 to 653 of the family's 1533-position model. The record is from RNAcentral.
AGUGCCUACGGGGCGCAGCAGUAGGGAAUCUUUCACAAUGGGCGAAAGCCUGAUGGAGCAACGCCGCGUGAAGGAAGAAGGCUUUCGGGUUGUAAACUUCUUUUACCAGGGACGAAGAAAGUGACGGUACCUGGAGAAUAAGCCACGGCUAACUACGUGCCAGCAGCCGCGGUAAUACGUAGGUGGCGAGCGUUGUCCGGAUUUACUGGGUGUAAAGGGCGCGUAGGGGGGAAUGCAAGUCAGAUGUGAAAUCCAUGGGCUUAACCCAUGAACUGCAUUUGAAACUGUAUUUCUUGAGUGUCGGG